UAUAUUUUGGUGUAUGGUGCACGGAGGUUUUUGAUGCCUUUGGUGUCAGUUUGAUUCUGUCAGAUAUAG
RNAcentral lists this transfer RNA (69 nucleotides) under Cryptotermes secundus. RNAcentral's name for it is "tRNA-Gln". It matches the Rfam family "tRNA". From Rfam's summary of the family: Transfer RNA (tRNA) molecules are approximately 80 nucleotides in length. Their secondary structure includes four short double-helical elements and three loops (D, anti-codon, and T loops). Further hydrogen bonds mediate the characteristic L-shaped molecular structure. tRNAs have two regions of fundamental functional importance: the anti-codon, which is responsible for specific mRNA codon recognition, and the 3' end, to which the tRNAs corresponding amino acid is attached (by aminoacyl-tRNA synthetases). tRNAs cope with the degeneracy of the genetic code in two manners: having more than one tRNA (with a specific anti-codon) for a particular amino acid; and 'wobble' base-pairing, i.e. permitting non-standard base-pairing at the 3rd anti-codon position. Lineage: Eukaryota; Metazoa; Arthropoda; Insecta; Blattodea; Kalotermitidae. The record is from RNAcentral.